This 561-nucleotide long non-coding RNA is filed under the name Setaria italica (foxtail millet). RNAcentral's name for it is "long non-coding RNA (SITA_LNC003667)". Lineage: Eukaryota; Viridiplantae; Streptophyta; Magnoliopsida; Poales; Poaceae. The record is from RNAcentral.
GAGCCGUCUGCAGGUGCCGGGUCGUUCUCCUCCUCCUGGUCGUCGUCGGAGAAAGGACGCCGUGCUGCCGGUGACAAGACUGCUAUGAUGAGAUCGUGUUCCACGAGAACAGGCCAGCACCAGGUGAGAAGUGAGAGAUCGAUGUUCCCUGCGUCGAUGUUCGAUGCAUGAACCUGUUACGAACUUGCAUUUGUUCGAUCAUCAAGACACAAAAGUUUGUGCUAAUCGAUCGAGGAAAUUAAACAUGCAGGUGGUGGUGUUGAGGGUAUCUCUGCACUGCAAGGGAUGCGCCGGCAAGGUGAAGAAGCACAUCUCCAAGAUGGAAGGUGAAUACAUCCGUGAGAAAGCAUCAUAUCUCCAUUCAUUCGUGCGUUAACUAAAGCAAAGCAUAUGUAUGUUUCCAGGAGUUACUUCUUUCGACAUCGACAUCGCGACGAAGAAGGUGACGGUCGUGGGAGACGUGACGCCGCUCGGUGUGCUCAACAGCAUCUCCAAGGUCAAGAGCGCCCAGUUCUGGCCGGACGCUUUGUCCUCUCUGUCCACGCCGCCGCGUGCCUCCGC